This 511-nucleotide ribosomal RNA is filed under the name uncultured bacterium. Its description in RNAcentral is "partial 16S ribosomal RNA". It matches the Rfam family "Bacterial small subunit ribosomal RNA", at positions 28 to 523 of the family's 1533-position model. The record is from RNAcentral.
GACGAACGCUGGCGGCGUGCCUAAUACAUGCAAGUAGAACGCUGAAGGAGGAGCUUACUUCUCUGGAUGAGUUGCGAACGGGUGAGUAACGCGUAGGUAACCUGCCUGGUAGCGGGGGAUAACUAUUGGAAACGAUAGCUAAUACCGCAUAAGAGUAGAUGUUGCAUGACAUUUACUUAAAAGGUGCAAUUGCACCACUACCAGAUGGACCUGCGUUGUAUUAGCUAGUUGGUGGGGUAACGGCUUACCAAGGCGACGAUACAUAGCCGACCUGGGAGGGUGAUCGGCCAAACUGGGACUGAGACACGGCCCAGACUCCUACGGGAGGCAGCAGUAGGGAAUCUUCGGCAAUGGACGGAAGUCUGACCGAGCAACGCCGCGUGAGUGAAGAAGGUUUUCGGAUCGUAAAGCUCUGUUGUAAGAGAAGAACGAGUGUGAGAGUGGAAAGUUCACACUGUGGCGGUAUCUUACCAGAAAGGGACGGCUAACUACGUGCCAGCAGCCGCGGUAA